RNAcentral lists this ribosomal RNA (253 nucleotides) under uncultured bacterium. RNAcentral's name for it is "partial 16S ribosomal RNA". It matches the Rfam family "Bacterial small subunit ribosomal RNA", at positions 524 to 776 of the family's 1533-position model. The record is from RNAcentral.
GACGAGGUCCACAAACGUUAUUCGGAAUUACUGGGCUUAAAGCGUGCGUAGGCGGCUUAGCAAGUCGGGUGUGAAAGCCCUCGGCUCAACCGAGGAAUUGCGCCCGAAACUGCUGAGCUAGAGUGAGACAGAGGUGAGCGGAACUGAUGGUGGAGCGGUGAAAUGCGUUGAUAUCAUCAGGAACACCGGUGGCGAAGGCGGCUCACUGGACCACAACUGACGCUGAGGCGCGAAAGCUAGGGGAGCAAACAGG